RNAcentral lists this ribosomal RNA (1447 nucleotides) under metagenome. RNAcentral's name for it is "bacterial LSU rRNA". It matches the Rfam family "Bacterial large subunit ribosomal RNA", at positions 1473 to 2925 of the family's 2925-position model. The record is from RNAcentral.
UGCAGUAGGCUAACUAAAGCGUGCGACUGGAAGUGCACGUCUAAGCAGUGAGGUGUGAAUUGAGUUAAAUGCUUAAUUCUAUAACAUUGAGCUGUGAUGGGGAGCGAAGUUUAGUAGCGAAGUUAGUGACGUCACACUGCCAAGAAAAGCUUCUAGCGUUAAUCAUACUCUACCCGUACCGCAAACCGACACAGGUAGUCGAGGCGAGUAGCCUCAGGUGAGCGAGAGAACUCUCGUUAAGGAACUCGGCAAAAUGACCCCGUAACUUCGGGAGAAGGGGUGCUGGCUUUCAGUCAGCCGCAGUGAAUAGGCCCAAGCAACUGUUUAUCAAAAACACAGCUCUCUGCUAAAUCGUAAGAUGAUGUAUAGGGGGUGACGCCUGCCCGGUGCUGGAAGGUUAAGAGGAGUGCUUAGCGUAAGCGAAGGUAUGAAUUGAAGCCCCAGUAAACGGCGGCCGUAACGAUAACGGUCCUAAGGUAGCGAAAUUCCUUGUCGGGUAAGUUCCGACCCGCACGAAAGGCGUAAUGAUUUGGGCACUGUCUCAACGAGAGACUCGGUGAAAUUUUAGUACCUGUGAAGAUGCAGGUUACCCGCGACAGGACGGAAAGACCCCACGGAGCUUUACUGCAGUUUGAUAUUGAGUGUCUGUGCCACAUGUACAGGAUAGGUAGGAGCCAUUGAGAUCGGGACGCCAGUUUCGAUGGAGGCGUUGUUGGGAUACUACCCUUGUGUUAUGGCCACUCUAACCCGGUAGGUUCAUCAUCUACGGAGACAGUGUCUGACGGGCAGUUUGACUGGGGCGGUCGCCUCCUAAAAGGUAACGGAGGCGCCCAAAGGUUCCCUCAGAAUGGUUGGAAAUCAUUCGCAGAGUGUAAAGGUAAAAGGGAGCUUGACUGCGAGAGCUACAACUCGAGCAGGGACGAAAGUCGGGCUUAGUGAUCCGGUGGUUCCGUAUGGAAGGGCCAUCGCUCAACGGAUAAAAGCUACCCUGGGGAUAACAGGCUUAUCUCCCCCAAGAGUUCACAUCGACGGGGAGGUUUGGCACCUCGAUGUCGGCUCGUCGCAUCCUGGGGCUGUAGUCGGUCCCAAGGGUUGGGCUGUUCGCCCACUAAAGCGGCACGCGAGCUGGGUUCAGAACGUCGUGAGACAGUUCGGUCCCUAUCCGUCGCGGGCGUAGGAAAUUUGAGAGGAUCUGCUCCUAGUACGAGAGGACCAGAGUGGACUUACCGCUGGUGUACCAGUUGUCUCGCCAGAGGCAUCGCUGGGUAGCUAUGUAGGGAAGGGAUAAACGCUGAAAGCAUCUAAGUGUGAAACCCACCUCAAGAUGAGAUUUCCCAUGAUUUUAUAUCAGUAAGAGCCCUGAGAGAAGAUCAGGUAGAUAGGUUAGGAGUGGAAGUUGUGUGAGCAAUGGGGCGGACUAAUACUAAUAGCUCGAGGACUUAUCCGA